Molecule: non-coding RNA, 2811 nt
Organism: Peromyscus maniculatus bairdii (prairie deer mouse)
Lineage: Eukaryota; Metazoa; Chordata; Mammalia; Rodentia; Cricetidae
Source: RefSeq, a predicted model, not a curated record
GCCUCCCCCUCCCCGGGCUCGAAAAUAAAUUAGCCACCCGGGGGAAAAAGAGCAAAUGACCCUCGGUGUGAGUGUCCUUGCGCCACUCUCAGGCCGCUCGCCCGCUCCCGCCUCCCCCGCCGCCGUCGGAGCGGGAAGUUGCGCUGGGGGUGGAGGCCCGGCCCGGAGGCGGGGAGGCCGGGGAGGCCGGACCGGCGCGGAGGCCAGGGUUGAGCUCCAGGCAGCCGUGAGUGGCCGCUGGCUCUGAGCCGCUUCCUGGGUCGAAGGGCAAAGGGGAAGGCGGCUGGCCAGGCCCGCCCCGUCCGCUGGCUGGCCAAGACCACAGGACUCCUGUGGACUCUCGCCUGCGUCCCUGGCCCGGGUCCGCAGAGCCACCUACAGCGUGCAGGAUGCCCAGGGCAGGCCCGACAGCCAGGCGAGGGCACUGUCUACACAGGUGCCACCGAACAAGUGGGGUGGGGAGUGUACAGGAAGGAGACCGAGCCCAGGAUUGAAGAUCGGACUCAGGGGUGGGACUUAUAAAAGGUCAGUCGUUCUGGAGAGCUCCCCAAGGGAUCGAUGGUCACCCUGGGCCCACCGGCGCGGACUGAAGGAGUCCCAGCCACCGCUGGUAACCAGUGGCAUUACUAGACAACUGCAUUGUGCCAGGCCUUGGCGCUCCUGGUCUAGAGGAGGCACAGUUCUAGGCAGGCGUCUCGGAGCUGCGGUAGUGAUAAAGGCCAAGCCUCCCUCGUGAGCACAGGCGCUGCAGCGCUUAUGGUGGAGGUUCUGGAGGAGCCCGGAGCGUUUGGAGGAUCUGUGACAGUCAUUUCCCACCCAUGGGUAGUGCUUCAGGGCUCUGCCUCUCUUCUGGGCCUUCCUUUUCCUUCCGGGUGCCUGGUCAGCAUGAGCAUCUGCAGGACAGGAUUCACCCUGGAGGGCCUUCCUCCAACCUGCAGAACAGGCCUCUGGCCUCUGAGUCGCAGAACUCUAAACACUGUCUGAUCCCUCCACCAGUGACCAUGCCUCCAGACACUCUGGCAUCCCAUAGACCCGGGCAGCUUCGUGGAUGCCAGGGGAAGGGAAGGUAUAGGCCACCAAUCAUCCUUUUUUUUCCCCUCAUAGUCUAAAUAUGGAAAUAAAACCAACAUCCAACAAAGUUCUGAAACUCAUCAAGCCCCAGAAUUUUCCUGUUUGUACCGCAGCUCUCCAUUCUUACCCCAUACCUCCACCCACACACUCUGACACAAGUCAGGGAUGUGCUAAGACUCAAGAGUGUUGGGUCAGGUCCCUAGUAUCAUAAUCAUAAAGGCAGGGUCACCAUGCCAGCAGGUCGGGAGCUGAGACAAAAAUGAGGAGCUUCCUGAUUGAGGUCCUUCUUUCCUGUUGGGCAUCUGUGGCCAGUCUGAGAGUGCUCAGCAAAGCCUGACCUGGCACCCCUGCACCCCCAUUCUCCUUACCCCCAGCUCGGCUCUUGUAGGCUCCCUUGAGGGCCAGAGGCAGAUUUAAGAGGCCAGUGUCCACAGGGGCUGAGAUACCUCAGUCAUCUGGAACUGUCCCGGGAUGCCAAGCCUGGCUGGCCUUGUUGAUGGGGUGUCUCCGGGGCCAGACCGCACCAGGUUCCAGGAUGAGACGGUGGCAGGAGGAGGCUUCAUCUGAGGCAUCCAGCUUGAAGGAUUGUUCAUGUCUGCCUAAAGACAAACGCCUCCCAGUGCUGGAAUCUCAGGAUAGCUUGUUCGCGCCUCAGAGGGAUGCUCAGUGUGCUGCAGAAGCCUUCCAGGCUCCACAGGAGACCAGUACUGACAGACAUGUGUGGCCAUUGCUCCUGGAAUGAAAACACAGACAUCUCUCUUCAAGGGGGAUCAUCCAUGGUGAGAAGGUAUAGAGCAGUUGACCCGAAUAUGCCUCCUUUCCCCUGAUCUGCUCCAAGCCCUGGAUGUCAUGUUCUUUAGUGGAAGCUGGGUCCCUAGCCCACCUUAGAUGAGUAUUAAUCUCUCUGAGGCACCUCCAUGAAAUCCAAUCUCUCCGCCCGCAUCUGGGCUGCAGAGGGACAUGAGGCAUGAUUUGGGUCUAAGAGACAUGGGAUGUUUUUUUUUUUUUUUUUUUUGAGAAUGUUUGGAAAGAUUCUAAGAGGCCAGAAAAGAGUGCUUUCCCUGGCCUCUGGACAUUGCUAUCUACAGGGGCUGUCUGAAACUGCAGCAUCUCCCACGUGACUUUCAGAGAUGCCAGGGAGACCAACGCAAACCAACAUGGAAAGGAUGGUAGGAAAUAUGGUGGAAUGUUCCUGGAAUGGAAUCCUACUUGGAUCAAAAUGGACUCUACAAAGCAGAUGGACCGCAGACCAGAGUCUGGACUCAGAGACACAAAAGAUGACAUUCAACACCAUCCCAUCACAGAAAGGCCUAGGACAGGCAAAGCUCCCCAGAGGGAGAGCACACCAGUGAUGAGAACAGGGUGGGAUCCAGCACAGGGGACUUUCUGAUGCCAGUUCUGCUUCUUGAUGGUAAUGGUUGGCUUGCCAGGUACAAAUGUGUCAAAAUCCAUCAGUUUCUCAGUCUGUACAUUGUACAUCACAUAAAUUAUUUUUAUAAAGCCAGUGGCCAGGGCUGGAGAGAGAGAGAGAGAGAGAGAGAGAGAGAGAGAGAGAGAGAGAGAGAGAGAGCGCUCAGGCAGAGAAGGGCUUACUUUGUGAUUAAGAACCCACGUUAACCAUAAGAACACACCUAAAAACUCCAAAAAUGGCAGCACACUUAUGAUCUCAGUGCUGUGGGGGUGGAGACAGGCACACCCUCGGCAGAUCUAUAAUAAACAUUAUUAGUAGACACUUUAAAA